Oxyura jamaicensis (ruddy duck) is the source of this 5763-nucleotide long non-coding RNA. RefSeq lists it as uncharacterized. The record is from RefSeq and is a predicted model, not a curated record. The transcript is spliced from 3 exons. NCBI's taxonomy places the organism in Eukaryota, Metazoa, Chordata, Aves, Anseriformes, Anatidae.
CUGCAGGCACCGCGCGUGGGGACCAAGUUCCGCUUCCACUUCUCCCCCUUCGGGCUACCUCACUGGUCCAGAAGUCCACCCAAGAAGUUAUUUUCCAAAGGAACUUUUCUUUCAUGCUUGUAUAAUAAAGCACCAUCCGGUUCUCGGGGGCCCCCCCCCCCCCCCCCCCUUUUCCGAUGGAUUAUGUAUGCUUUGUGGUGUUGCACUAGUAUGUGCUCAGGGUAUUUUGAAUCCCAAGCAUUCCCAAGUUUCAGUUUACUCUGAUCAAGGAUGCAUAAAGAAUGGAGGUUCAGGACUUGUGGCUGUUCUUGAUGGUGCAAAAAAAAAAACAAAACAAAACCUUUUUUUAAUUUCAUGGGCUUAGUGAUAUAUAAAGAUGUAUUGCGCAGUAUAAUUGUUACACUUUUGUAUCUAAAGUCAUUUUUAAAGUUUUCUAGUUGAACUAAGUAUUUGUUUCUAUUGAGCACCUAAAGAUAGAAUCAUCCUGAUAUUUUAUAAACCUGUUUACUUUAGGGAAGCUCAUUUGGUCAACCUAAGUGAACUUAAUAAAAAGCAAAGAACAAGUGACGUUUCAGUUCAAUGAAACUGGACUGCACAGGGAUGGGUUCUUUGGUGGAGUUUGCCAUGUAUGCGCCUGGCGAAGGCACCAGGGGUGUCUCCAGAAAACAAAUUUAGGGUUUCUGAAGAAUGUAACCGCUCAUCAAAGCAAUGCAUAGGUGUCUGAGGGUGAGCUGUGAUACAAUUUUGCCAUUAACAGCAAAAAAUGAGUCCUCACAUGUCCCAAAUACCACACCGAAGUGACUAUCUCUGCAGCAAGAGCAAGGCUUCAUGCCUGAUGGCUUCAUAACAAAAUAGCACUGGUUCAACCUGGAGCUGUUGGAUGAUUAGAGAUUGAUAAUCAUAUCCAUGUAAUUACUUGCACAUAAUUAUUUUUAUAAACCUCUCCUGGGUUUCACAGUGGACUGUGAUACAAGAUUCAUAAUGUAGCUGGACUGUUUUGCCUAAAAAACACCAUCUUGUUGUUCUGUCUGGUGGGCAUUCUCUCCUGAAUCUGAUUUUUUAAGGGCUUUCCUUAGGUUUGCCUGGUUGGUGUGUGAAAGGCGGAGGUUUGGGGGACAUUUUUUUUUUUCCCUCUCUCUUUUUUUUCCAAGCUCAGAGAAGAACAAGAAGUGCUUGGUGAGAGAUGGUUUGUGUCCCUAGUAUCCUAGCAAACAAGAAACUUCUCAGUUUCCACAGUGGAAUGAAUGACUUCACAGCUUGUUUAUAGAAUGGUUUGGUGACUUUAAAUUUCUUUUCUGAUUGCUGUUGACUCCUUGUUGCCUGCUCUUCAUGGAUGUAAUAGGACAGCUAGAUGAGCAGAGGGUAUUUGCAAAAAUUUGCUAGUGCUAACCUGAAUCAACCAGCUUCUAAAACCUGUUUAUACUAUGUAGUUCUUACCUAGCAAAGCUGCCAAGUUCUUAUUCUUCCAAGCUAACAAUCUAUUCUAUAACCAUUAGGCUUUUGAAAUCGUUUACAUAACGUUAGACUGCCCGCUGAUUGCUGCAGUAGUGCCACGUCACAUUUCAGAAGGGAAUUAGGAAAUGAAAGUUCAAGGGUGCAUAUUGUUGAGCUAUUUCUCUGGCUAUAAUACCUGCUCAAAUUUAAAAGCAACAUUGUGUUGAUUUAAAACUACUCAAUAUGACAUACUGCAGCAUGACCAAAUGCCAAGGCUCCAAGUAUUUCAUUUUUUACUCUAGAAAUGCAGGUUAAGAGGAUUGUUGCUAAUACUUGAAGUGUCAAGUUGACUUCACGGAUGUUCUGCUCCUACUGUUAGGUUGAUUUUUUUUAGUAUACUUUUGAAAAAUCUGUGUAGAGAAAUGAUAAAAUUUAAGCAACUGUCUUGUGCAGAUUUUUCACAUAAUCCAUAAGCAGGGUUGGGACAGACUGGGUCAAAUUCAGGGGCAGAGUUAAGGCUGCCAGAGGUAUGAUAUGGGAGAUACCAUAUUAAAGUUUGUGCUGCCUUGUUUUGAAAGUUAUACUGAAAUGUUCUUUGUGGGUACAAAAUAGUGUGAAAUAUCUCUAACUUUGUUGAGUGACUCUUCUGGUGCAGGGGUUUAGUGUGCUUUGCUGGUACCCUGUUAGGAAGUUGGAUUAAGAUCUGCCAGCUGCACUUACAGGUUCUCAGCUGAGCUAUUUCAGCCUGUGAAUUCAGUUGGGGGGGGUGGGGGGGGGAUGGAUCUUUAGUCAGGUUUUCUGAUAAAUUAACGUGCUGAAAUAGCUCAGCAAAGGACUGGUUUACAGGAGAGAGUGUGAAAGCUAACAGCUUACAGGGAAGCUAACACGGCUUAAGCUCAUGAUUGUAUUCAUGACAGUUUGUUGCAAUCCAGUGCAGGAUUACCUGUGGUACGGUUCGUCCCCUCUUUUCCCUCUCAAAACAGCAGUCCGUAACUACCUCUUUGUGCUCAUCUGAGGAAGCUAAUCACUCAGAAACCUGUUCUAUUUUAGUUUUGGGCAGGUUGAUGGUUGUCAGCUUUUUUUGGUCCUCCUAGAUGCUGACCAGAGCUGAGGAACUUCAGAAAGGGAUAUGCAAAACUGCUGCAAUAUUGAAUUAGACAAUUUUAAAGCAUAGAAGCCUUAGGCUUUAUUUUAUAUGAAGGACUAAUAAUGUUAUUGUGUUUUAUCUAUAAAGAUGCUGUUAGAGAAAGUGUAAUGGAUUAGAUGGAUUUCUGGUCUUACUUGGUGUGGCUGUUUGUAUGCACAGUGAGCAGCGUGAGAGGUGUGAUUUGCCUUAUUUAACUCAGUGGGUUUCAUUAUCCUUUCAUAUGGGGAUGCUUCUGAGACUGACAAAAUGCAGGCCCAGAAUAAAUCCAGCAUACAAUGCCCAUUCAGUCAGUACGGCUGGUUUCAUAUUAAACAGAAAUCUUGUGGUGGCCUCUGUUGCCAGACUUCUGUUGCAGUAGCUGAUUCCCUCCCAUAUGGGCUCCCCUCAUACAGUGACUGUGUUCUGGAAGUUGUGCUAUUUCCUUUACCAAAAUGUGAAUCUUUAUCCAGUCAUUCAAAGGUUAUCGAAUUUCAGAAUGCCACAGUGCCAAAAAGAGUUGUGUGAUGGCCCCAGACAUCAAGGAGAGGUUUGAGACGACCGUUGUGUCUAACAUGUUGCAUAGUGUAGGCUUUGGAUUCAAGAGGCAGUGCCUUCCUCUGAGUCAUUGUGCAAGCACAUUGUUCAGGACUGAAAUCUGUAAAAGGAGAAGGCAGCACCCUGCAAAAAAUUUUCCCUACUAUAAUAUUGUGUAGAAGUUUUCACAUCAAAAGCAUCAAAAUGUACAACUGGUCCUUGAAACCAUCUGUUGCCAGCUUGUAAACACCGAACUCUGUAUAUGCCUAGGCCUCAUGUAGAGCAUCAUUGUACAUAUUUGCCAAUGGCAAGACUUGCGGUACUUGGAUUUUUCUCUGAACGGGUAGGUCAUGUUGUGUGUGUCUGUAUUUCCUUGCCUACCAGAAGCAAAGGGCAAAGUGAAUCCAGUUUGUAGAUUUGAUUCCAAAUAUUUUUACUUUACUGCUUAGCAAGGCAGAGUCCUGGGCUCUUCAUGCUAUUUAAAAGAGUUGAUUUGUGCUAAUUUACAGGUGAUCGAUGCUGUAGUCAGAGCUCAAAGUUUGCAUGCACAGGAAAUCAGCAGUACCUAAAACAUCUGUAUUUCUUUUUGGCCCAGUGGACUGUAACAUUAAGAACGUUUUCUGAUUUAUAUAUAUGAAUCAAAACCACCAGUUUUAGGUUGAACAAAAUGUGUUGUUUGUCUUCAAAUGCUAUGUUUUUAAUUGUGUUUACAAAUACAGGAAAUCUGGAAGCAAAGGACUAUAUUCACAAGAGGUUUUAGACACUACCCACAGAAAGGGUCAAUUCACAUCAAGUAACGUAGUAGAUGAGGAAUCCUGGACUUCGAGAGACCCAAGUCCCAGUACCCUCUUUGUCUCAUUUGGAGGAGGAACUUGGGAGUUCUGUGUCCUGAGGACUAGUUUAUAGCAGCUUGAACCAUUUCACUUGAUGUAAAAAUAUUCACUGAGCUAGAGAAAAUUACUGGAUAUUGAAGAUUUUAGGGUACACCUUGGUUCUUCAUCCAGUAUUUAUUCUAGCUGAGCAUAACUACAUUAACCGGGAAGAAUGAGGCAGACCUGUUCCAGAGUGUUCUGUGGUAGGGCAUCUGCUCAGGCAGUGACUCCAAAUGUGCACUGCUCAUGACCAUUUAUUAUGCUCAUGACCCAAACUAUCACAAGGCAUCCCUUAUGUACAGUAAUAGGACAAUAUAGGAGCAUUCUGGAAUAUUUCUUAUCCCUAAUCAAGGUAAAGCCAUUUUUCCAUUCUGUAAAAAUAAAGUUUAUUUCCUUUAAAUUAGUGUCUAAAUAUCUUUACAGAACUAUGAAAAAGUUCCUUUAGUUCUUUUGUUGUUAAUGCUACUUUUUUAAGAAAAAAGAGCCAAAAAUAUUUCCAGGGUUGUUAUCAAGAAUAGAGUCUCAUUUAUCCAUUUAUUUACUGUGAAACUCCCCAGGAAACUGCUGAAUAAGUAAGGCUUGACAUAUAGGAGAUGGAAGAAAUGAGCCUUCAUUCAUGUAGUUCAUUUUUGCUCUGACAGGUGUGCAAAUUAGCCAAACAGGAAAGUGUGGGGUUCCCUGUACUCUCCGCUGGGAUUUAAGAAAUCUUCCUUACCAAUUCUCUUUCAGACUCAUUAUUUCAGAUUAUAGAAGAUGAGGCUCAAUAGUCUUGAAGUUAAAAUGCUGCCAACAGCAAAACCUUGUCCCUUGCAUGCUCUGAUCAUUUAUUUAUUUAUUUAUUAUUUUUUAAUUUUUUUUUUUUUUUUUUUCCACUGUAACAGGAAUGCAGGCAGUCUGUACCCACCCUUUUUUGUAGGCUGGUUUAGAGGAGAGAGAGGAGAUGUUCAGUUCAAAGGGGAUGGGAGAUGAAAUACAUGCACUGAAAGACAGCUUUUUAUUUUUUGGUGUUUUAGUGUCUUGUGUUUAGUUGGCUACUUCUUCUCACCUUCACUCUUAACUCUCCCUUCAGCCAUCUCUUUGCUUGUGCAACUGGUUACUCUGCCUUCAGCCAUCUCUAAUUACCCAUUGCUUUGCUUGUGCAACUGAACUGUUUAUUUGUCAGCUUACGUUUGGUCCGUGCCAAAUCAGCUUGCUAUAGAAUGACCUGUGAAGGUAGGACACGCUUACAAGUAUAUAUAUUGGUAACAGGUAUUAUCCUAGCCUCAUAUUUGGACAGCACUGGACUGUAGUCAAAAUACCAGAUGCUGUUUCCAAAUGGAUGGUAUUUCCUGGAUGAGAGGUCUUUGCAAGGAACACUGGAAGAACAGAGCAGAGAAUUUUCCCUCUCGUUGAUGCUGCAGGAGCCAGAGCAGUGCUGUGCCCCACAGCAGUGAGGGGAAGAACAGACUACAUGCAGAGAGGCCACAUUUCACUCCUGGCAGUGGGAAUUUGACCCUGCUGCUCCCUAGUGACUCCCUAAGCCCUGGGCUGGCAGUCCUCUGCCCACCACAUUUUGUACAAGGCACGAAGUCCCACCAACAGGGACUGGUGAGUGUCACCUGCCCGCGCUGCUCUCCUCUCUGGGAAGAUAUCCCCAGCAAACCAAGGCUGCCAAACACCCCUGGGACUCCAGUCUCCAUGCCAGAUAUUUGUUACAUAGCAGUACACGACACUGCAGGGAGAUGAUGUACCUUUGUCUAUGCCGGCAGUGACAUCAAAGCAAUCAUUUAAUUUCUGGUGUACUGAGAAAGCCAUUGG